GUGCCUAUGAGGGAGGGGAGUGCGACAGGGGGAAGGUUAUCAUCAUCUGUCAGAUCUGAACUUAAACAACAAGAAACAUGUCAGGCUCUGCUGCAGCAAGGGGGAACACUAGGGCAGAAAGAGGCUGAAACUGAGGACCAGGCUGGUAAGAAGAUUGACAGUGACAGUGAAAACGAUCAAGACUCUGUCUGCCAAGUUUGCAGGUUCCUAUUCCACUCUCUCCUGAUUUCCAAGGCUCGGUUUCUGAGCGCCUAUAGGCAGAAAGAAGAGUUGAGGAGCCCGGAAUGUUCACCAUGCCAGCGGACUGGCUUGCUGCGAGGCAGGUGGCCGCGGCAGAACCGGUUGGGAUGAGUUACGGCACCACCUCGGAUUCUGGGAUUCCCGCACUACUUUGCGGCUCUUCCUGCGCUCCAGAGCGCUCCUUUGAAACGAGCGCAAAAGGCACAAAUUUUGAGUAGCUAAACUCGUUUGCCCGAGACAGCAGCGCUUAGACAGACAAGCCGGGAGCGGAGAGCUUGCCUUGCUCCCCGUGGGUACGCUGCCAAAGUGGCGCUUGAUCGUUAGUGAAAAAAAAAAAAGACGGAGCGAUAUGGCUCAGUCCGGCGUUUGCAGGGGGAAGCAGACGAUUGCGAGUGAAGGCCCCAUGAGUCCAGCUCCGCCUGGACUACGCGGCUCCCCACCUCUGGCGGCCGCGGCUCCUGUUCCCCAGGACGUGCUCGCAGUUCCAACCUCUAAUCCUAGUCCUCAGCUGGCGCAGGCUGGCUGAAGGAUCGCGCAACUAGGCGGAAUGUGUUGACUCCAUCCUCCAGGGGAAUUCAGAUUGGACUGAAAGGAAAAAAUUUCCCAGACCUGGGCAGCAGCAGUCGCCGAUGAAACUGACCUUCAUGACACUGACCAGAGAUAAACCUCUUGGCAUGAGACAGCCUGGCACACCACUGAUCACUCGGUUGGGGACUAGGGACAAGCAGCCCACUACCACGAAAUUUACCAGCGUGUACUUAAAGAGAAAACCCGAGAUGCCUAAAACAGAUGGGUGCACAACAGAACACUGUUCACUGUUAACCGACCACCUGAAACCGUUCUCAGUGAGGCUACCCUGAAAUUAACUUGACUGGGUGAAAGGAACCAGAAUGAAAUCCACCUGCCUGUUAACACAGCCACUUACCCACAGCAAGAGAUUGGAGCAGAGGCUGAAGAGUGCGGCGGGGUGGAGCCGGGAGGGGGCUAGUCUCUGGGUGCUCCUGAGAACCUGACUGGUGCCGCUGCGGGGAUUGGGGGAGGGGGUUGUCCAGUGCUUUUUAAUUUACGACCGCCGCGCCCCAAGCCAUCCCAUAAAUUUGGGGGCCGUUUUCACCAAAGCUGUGAGUUACGAUUUUUCAAAUAAAUACAUUUUCCAAUCAGACGGGGUUCUGUUUAGGUUGAACGCGUCCUGAAGCAGACAUCUCUCUGCGCGGAACAUACACAGAGGAGGAAGCGGGGCCGGGGCGAAGCUCAGACGACAUAAAAACUUGUGUAAACACGUUGUCAUUUACGGACUUCGGAAGAGAAAGGGAAUGGGAGAGGAAAAUGUUUAAUUCUCCCUUGAAUCCUGGGGUUCCAGACCCGAGGGAAAACGUGGAAAUUUUAAUAUUCUUUUUCCAUAAGCUUGAUUUGUGUUAGGCAUUGGACAAUGGGCAGCAUCAGGUUUACCUUAAAUAGAUUCCGUAAUUUUGAGGCUGUUACAAACCUAAGAAUGGACAGAGUUUCAUUCCCCCACCCCCCACGCACACACACACCGCACACUCUUAGUUUUUCUUUAGGAAAGAGUGUGGGGGAGAUAAACCAGAAGGGGUUAUUUUAGCAGCAAGGUCUCCGAUUUCUAGCUGUGCCUCCCCGUCCUCUAGGUCUGUUUUGCCACCUGUAAAACAAGGGGGAUAGGACUAGGA
This is a long non-coding RNA of Bos taurus (domestic cattle), 1925 nucleotides long. The record is from Ensembl. NCBI's taxonomy places the organism in Eukaryota, Metazoa, Chordata, Mammalia, Artiodactyla, Bovidae.